GCCUUGGUAGUAUAGCGGUUAGAAUUCUGCCCUGUCACGGCGGAGACCCGGGUUCGAAUCCCGGCCAAGGCG
Molecule: transfer RNA, 72 nt
Filed under: Microcaldota archaeon
Lineage: Archaea; Nanobdellati; Microcaldota
Description: tRNA-Asp
Rfam family: tRNA
About the family: Transfer RNA (tRNA) molecules are approximately 80 nucleotides in length.
Source: RNAcentral